ACUCCUACGGGAGGCAGCAGUGGGGAAUAUUGCACAAUGGGCGAAAGCCUGAUGCAGCGACGCCGCGUGAGGGAUGAAGGCCUUCGGGUCGUAAACCUCUUUCAGCAGGGAAGAAGCGCAAGUGACGGUACCUGCAGAAGAAGCACCGGCUAACUACGUGCCAGCAGCCGCGGUAAUACGUAGGGUGCGAGCGUUGUCCGGAAUUAUUGGGCGUAAAGAGCUCGUAGGCGGCUUGUCACGUCGGAUGUGAAAGCCCGGGGCUUAACCCCGGUCUGCAUUCGAUAGGCAGGCUAGAGUGUGGUAGGGGAGAUCGGAAUUCCUGGUGUAGCGGUGAAAUGCGCAGAUAUCAGGAGGAACACCGGUGGCGAAGGCGGAUCUCUGGGCCAUUACUGACGCUGAGGAGCGAAAGCGCGGGGAGCGAACAGGAUUAGAUACCCUGGUAGUCCACGCCGUAAACGGUGGGAACUAGGUGUUGGCGACAUUCCACGUCGUCGUGCCGCAGCUAACGCAUUAAGUUCCCCGCCUGGGGAGUACGGCCGCAAGGCUAAAACUCAAAGGAAUUGACGGGGGCCCGCACAAGCAGCGGAGCAUGUGGCUUAAUUCGACGCAACGCGAAGAACCUUACCAAGGCUUGACAUAUACCGGAAACGGCCAGAGAUGGUCGCCCCCUUGUGGUCGGUAUACAGGUGGUGCAUGGUUGUCGUCAGCUCGUGUCGUGAGAUGUUGGGUUAAGUCCCGCAACGAGCGCAACCCUUGUUCUGUGUUGCCAGCAUGGGGUGAUGGGGACUCACAGGAGACUGCCGGGGUCAACUCGGA
Molecule: ribosomal RNA, 816 nt
Filed under: uncultured Actinomycetes bacterium
Lineage: Bacteria; Bacillati; Actinomycetota; Actinomycetes
Description: bacterial SSU rRNA
Rfam family: Bacterial small subunit ribosomal RNA
Source: RNAcentral